RNAcentral lists this ribosomal RNA (305 nucleotides) under uncultured bacterium. RNAcentral describes it as "partial 16S ribosomal RNA". It matches the Rfam family "Bacterial small subunit ribosomal RNA", at positions 337 to 657 of the family's 1533-position model. The record is from RNAcentral.
GCCUACGGGGGGCAGCAGUGGGGAAUAUUGCACAAUGGGGGGAACCCUGAUGCAGCGACGCCGCGUGAGUGAAGAAGUAUUUCGGUACGUAAAGCUCUAUCAGCAGGGAAGAAAAAAGGACGGUACCUGAGUAAGAAGCCCCGGCUAACUACGUGCCAGCAGCCGCGGUAAUACGUAGGGGGCAAGCGUUAUCCGGAAUUACUGGGUGUAAAGGGAGCGUAGACGGGAUGUCAAGUUAGUUGUGAAAUACCUCGGCUCAACUGAGGAACUGCAACUAAAACUAACAUUCUUGAGUGCAGGAGAGG